This is a long non-coding RNA of Cornus florida, 1980 nucleotides long. RefSeq lists it as uncharacterized. The transcript is spliced from 3 exons. Lineage: Eukaryota; Viridiplantae; Streptophyta; Magnoliopsida; Cornales; Cornaceae. The record is from RefSeq and is a predicted model, not a curated record.
UGAAUAAAAAUUUUAAACAUGUUUUUACAAAAGUUUAUAAAUAUUAAAAAAUCUAGUGGGUUCGAUUGAUCUGGGAUAUCCAUGGAUGCAUACGAUUGUCUCUAUAGUCCAUUCCAUUGAUUGAGAGAGGAAGUCCUUUGAUGGAUGGUUAGGAAAUUCUAGAGUGAGUUUGCAUUGAAACACUCGGGGAAUAGUAAGGUUGGGAGGUAAUAAUAAUUUUUUUUAAUAAUUUUAGGGGAUAAGAGUAUUUUUUUUUUCUUUCUUUAAUUGGUAUUUAUAAACACAUGGUUCUCCACUAAAGCUCGAAUUCUUAACAUUCUUUUGAAAAGUAAAAACUGAUACUGCUAGGCUAAUAUUUUAUGAAUAUAUAAUUUAAAAAUCCAAAUUCACAAGGAUACAUUACUAAAAAAAAAAAAAAAAUCCGGGGGGUUUCCAACAUGUAGGUCCGUCCUAGGAAACAUCGAGUUUCCACCUGAUUCAAACACCAGUCUAAGAUGAUUCUAAAUGCACAUGAUUUCUCAAAAACUCUAGAAAAAUUUUCUAACUAAUUUUCAUAUAAUUUUGAAAAUAAAAAGUAUAUAUUUUUGCUUUUAUUCACAAGACCAAGUCUCAUGAUUUUGCAUAUUGUUCAAAUAUAUUUGAGAGAUUACUUGUGAGGUAUAGUACAUUUUUUUUUUAUUUUUUAUUUUUACAACAAUCAUCAUACCUAUUAGAAUUUGGCGAGCUGUUGGGCAUACGCAUUAGUAUUUGGUGAGUUGUUGGGCAUAAUGUAAGAAACCCUCCUAAAUUAUUGAAAAACUUGCAACUUACCUUCUAAACUACUAAAGUUGCAAAAAACUUCCUAUAUUUAUUGCUGAUGAUCCCACCCAACAACGUACCGGUUGAUUCUCGCCUUUAAAAUUGAACGUGUAGGCAACGGGGAUAAGGGUGUGUUUGCGUGAAAUAUAAGUUGGGUGUUUGGGUCAUUGUCACAAUAGCCAACCCAAACACACUCUCAUACCGCCGGCAACACACUCCCUUUUGCUAUUCACACCCUCUGCCGGCUAUACACAAAAGGGUGUCCUUCACCGUUCAUCUUCAACCUCGUAACCUGUCGAUCAUUUGGCUGUGCAUAUGACAUCCCAAGAUUAAAUUGUUGCAAUCAACUGCGUGUAAAGUGGGUGAAUCGAUCUGUGAACGAGUGAUGAUCCAUGGGUUCCACUGAAAGAAUUAAGUACUUGAGUUUGUAUUUGGUUAAGGAAUUGAUGAAGGUUGUGACACAAGCUUUGGGCGAAGUUUAGGAGAGAAUGUCUUCUUUGGAGCUCUGUAGUCGCUUGUUGGCUGCGUUCUAAGACCUAUCUUUUCCCUCAGUCUCAGCAUCUAUCCACUAGAUCCAAGUUUGACAAAGGUGAUUUCCCUAAAAACAGGACAAAAUCGUGAUUCUAGAGCUUAAAUACCAUUUACGAGGCUUAUAGAGUUGUACCAGACCAUCCGAGGCAAGUUUAGAGUCAAUCAGGGGAUUCUGGAGACGUUCAAGUGCUAGAGCUCGAGCACAACCAUUUUUGCUAGACCACAAAGUAGAAUGAAGCAAGAAAAGUUACUAAGGCAAAAUUUCUUGAGCACAAGAUUUUCUGCUCGAGCACAAAAUAAAAAGCUCGAGCCUUUUCCAAAAAGUUUGAGCACAAAUUCCCCUGGGAAGAUGAAAAGAUGCUUCCGAAAUUUCAAUUGCCAGAGCUUGAGCAUUUCUCAAAAAGCUGGAGCAGAAGUCCACCUGGGAAGAUGAAAAGACGCUUUGAAAAUCCAAGUUCGAAAAGCUCGAGCCAUUUCCAAAAAGGUCGAGUAGAAGCUGGCUUGAGCACAAGAUUUUAUGCUGAAGCACCCUAGGCAUAGUGCUCGACUACCUUGCUGGAAAAUCCUAAAAUUUGGCUAAGUGUUGGGCAAAAAGAUGCUUCGAAUUUUUUUUGAAGAAAUUUGGCUAAGUAUGAAAUUAAUGCUUAUAAU